UAAGGGCGUGUUACCAUGUCG
Caenorhabditis elegans is the source of this 21-nucleotide non-coding RNA. Lineage: Eukaryota; Metazoa; Nematoda; Chromadorea; Rhabditida; Rhabditidae. The record is from Ensembl.